CGCGAAGACACGGCAGGGUCACGGCACACGCAGCGCUACACAACACAACACAAAUAUAAACAUAAACAAAUUAUAGUAAAGUAGAAACAAGAGAGGAGGAAGUAAACACGAGUAAUAGUAGGGACGAGGAUAAACAGAAAACGCGUUGAACGAAGAAGUUGGAGGUUUCCACGAGCAGGAGAGUGUUUAGUGAUUGUGGCUAACGAAGGACAGUUUUAGUGCACAACAGUUAGAACGGGGCAUGCAGACGUGUUCACGAGUUGGUUAGACGAUCACAAUAAAUCCAGGUGAGACGUAAACAAACACUCCAGCGAAGGGGAACAGAUUAAAAACUCCUAAAUCUACUAGUACGGACUUCGAAACGGGUCGGCCAGGACGAGACAGUUCGGACAGGACGGAUUGAACAGUACAGUACAGUGGAGAACAGGUAACACGUAAUUUACUACCAAAGUGAACAAUGACAAUUAACACUCAUUGAAACACAGAACCGCGCGACAGGCAACAUAAACUAAAAGCGCCCGGCAAAGAGGUGCAGUCGUCACCGCUGGGGUAAUUUGUUGCCAGUGUCGAAGGCGGAGCGAGAAGGUUUCGGUACAAAACGGUACAAAAACAAACCAAUCAAUUUUGAUCUGCAUUAGCUGAUACAAAAUCUGGUUUUAUUUGCCACCGUCCG
Long non-coding RNA from Culex pipiens pallens (northern house mosquito), 673 nucleotides. RefSeq lists it as uncharacterized. NCBI's taxonomy places the organism in Eukaryota, Metazoa, Arthropoda, Insecta, Diptera, Culicidae. The transcript is spliced from 3 exons. The record is from RefSeq and is a predicted model, not a curated record.